Molecule: ribosomal RNA, 892 nt
Filed under: uncultured delta proteobacterium
Lineage: Bacteria; Deltaproteobacteria
Description: bacterial SSU rRNA
Rfam family: Bacterial small subunit ribosomal RNA
Source: RNAcentral
GGAUGAACGCUAGCGGCAGGCCUAAUACAUGCAAAUCGAACGCGAAAGGGGCUUCGGCCCUGAGUAAAGUGGCGCACGGGUGAGUAACGCGUGGAUAAUCUGCCCUGUGAUCUGGGAUAACACUUCGAAAGGGGUGCUAAUACCGGAUAAGACCACGGAGUCUUAGGACUCUGCGGUAAAAGGUGGGGACCUUCGGGCCUACCGUCAUCGGAUGAGUCCGCGUACCAUUAGCUAGUUGGUAGGGUAAGAGCCUACCAAGGCGACGAUGGUUAGCUGGUCUGAGAGGAUGAUCAGCCACACUGGAACUGAGACACGGUCCAGACUCCUACGGGAGGCAGCAGUGGGGAAUUUUGCGCAAUGGGGGAAACCCUGACGCAGCAACGCCGCGUGAGUGAUGAAGGCCUUCGGGUCGUAAAGCUCUGUCAGAGGGGAAGAAGUGUGCGGGUGCUAAUAUCAUCUGCGCUUGACGGUACCCUCAAAGGAAGCACCGGCUAACUCCGUGCCAGCAGCCGCGGUAAUACGGAGGGUGCGAGCGUUGUUCGGAAUUAUUGGGCGUAAAGCGCGUGUAGGCGGUUUGAUAAGUCUGAUGUGAAAGCCCCGGGCUCAACCCGGGAAGUGCAUUGGAAACUGUCAGGCUUGAAUACGGGAGAGGGCAGUGGAAUUCCUAGUGUAGGAGUGAAAUCCGUAGAUAUUAGGAGGAACACCGGUGGCGAAGGCGGCUGCCUGGACCGAUAUUGACGCUGAGACGCGAAAGCGUGGGGAGCAAACAGGAUUAGAUACCCUGGUAGUCCACGCCGUAAACGAUGAGUACUAGGUGUUGCGGGUAUUGACCCCUGCAGUGCCGCAGCUAACGCAUUAAGUACUCCGCCUGGGAAGUACGGCCGCAAGGCUA